Molecule: ribosomal RNA, 408 nt
Filed under: uncultured bacterium
Lineage: Bacteria
Description: partial 16S ribosomal RNA
Rfam family: Bacterial small subunit ribosomal RNA
Source: RNAcentral
GACGAUCGCUAGCGGCGUGCUUAACACAUGCAAGUCGAACGGAGUGGCGAACGGGUGAGUAACAAGUGGGUGAUCUGCCUUGCACUUCGGGAUAAGCUUGGGAAACUGGGUCUAAUACCGGAUAGUGCAAGAUGAGCUCGCGGCCUAUCAGCUUGUUGGUGGGGUAAUGGCCUACCAAGGCGUCGAAGGGUAGUCGGUCUGAGAGGGUGUACGGCAACAUUGGGACAGAGAGACGGCCCAGACUCAGACGGGAGGCAGCAGGUGGGAAUAUUGCACAAUGGGCGGAAGCCUGAUGCAGCGACGCCGCGUGGGGGAUGAAGGCCUUCGGGUUGUAAACUCCUUUCGACAGGGACGCGGUACCUGUAUAAGAAGCACCGGCUAACUACGUGCCAGCAGCCGCGGUAAUAC